RNAcentral lists this ribosomal RNA (600 nucleotides) under Thecocodium sp. MHNG INVE 62870. RNAcentral's name for it is "partial 16S ribosomal RNA". It matches the Rfam family "Bacterial large subunit ribosomal RNA", at positions 1817 to 2597 of the family's 2925-position model. Lineage: Eukaryota; Metazoa; Cnidaria; Hydrozoa; Anthoathecata; Ptilocodiidae. The record is from RNAcentral.
AGCCCUGGAAAAAAUCCAAGGUGUAACCUGCCCAAUGAUUUUUAAUUAAAUAAUAAUAACAAUAUUAAAAUAAAAUUUAAAGGACGCGGUAACCUUGACCGUGAUAAUGUAGCAUAAUCACUUGCCAUUUAAUUGAUGGAUAGUAUGAAUGGUUAAACGAAUAUUACAUUGUCUUAAAAAGAGAUCUCAUAAAAUUGAAAUAAUAGUUAAGAUGCUAUUUAAAAUUGUAAGACGAAAAGACCCUAUAGAGCUUAACUAUAAUUUCUUUCUUAAAAUUGAAAUAUACAUUUCUAAUAGUAGAGAAAUUGGUAGUUUAGUUGGGGCGACUAUCUUCUAUAAUUAACGAAGAUAAACAAUAUUAAUAAAAUAAUUUAUUGUAUAAUUUUUAAAUUUAACAAUUAUUAAAGUAGGUUAUAAUGACCCGUUAUAAUUUAAUAACAAAAUAUAACGAUCAAUAAAUAAAAGCUACCUUAGGGAUAACAGGAUAAUUUUGUUCUAGAGAUCUUAUCGAAAACAAAGUUUGUCACCUCUAUGUUGAAUUAAGAUAUCCAAAUAAUGCAGAAGUUAUUAAGGGUAGGUCUGUUCGACCUUUAAAAUCUU